This 63-nucleotide small nucleolar RNA is filed under the name Morus notabilis. RNAcentral describes it as "Small nucleolar RNA snoR101". It matches the Rfam family "Small nucleolar RNA snoR101". The record is from Rfam by way of RNAcentral. Lineage: Eukaryota; Viridiplantae; Streptophyta; Magnoliopsida; Rosales; Moraceae.
GGCUUACACUUGAUCUCUGAACUUCAGGUAAGUUCAAAUGUUGACCGGUUAUUGACUGAUGCU